Mustela putorius furo (domestic ferret) is the source of this 127-nucleotide non-coding RNA. Lineage: Eukaryota; Metazoa; Chordata; Mammalia; Carnivora; Mustelidae. The record is from Rfam.
GUCUACGGCCAUACCACCCUGAACGCACCUGAUCUCAGAAGCUAAGCAGGGUCGGGCCUGGUUAGUACUUGGAUGGGAGACGAAGAGCUAUUCGUGGAAGAGAAUACCCACCACGUGGCUGUUUGUU